Molecule: ribosomal RNA, 500 nt
Filed under: uncultured bacterium
Lineage: Bacteria
Description: partial 16S ribosomal RNA
Rfam family: Bacterial small subunit ribosomal RNA
Source: RNAcentral
AUUGAACGCUGGCGGCAGGCUUAACACAUGCAAGUCGAGCGGGGGAAGGUAGCUUGCUACCGGACCUAGCGGCGGACGGGUGAGUAAUGCUUAGGAAUUUGCCUAUUAGUGGGGGACAACAUCUCGAAAGGGAUGCUAAUACCGCAUACGUCCUACGGGAGAAAGCAGGGGAUCUUCGGACCUUGCGCUAAUAGAUGAGCCUAAGUCGGAUUAGCUAGUUGGUGGGUAAAGGCCUACCAAGGCGACGAUCUGUAGCGGGUCUGAGAGGAUGAUCCGCCACACUGGGACUGAGACACGGCCCAGACUCCUACGGGAGGUAGCAGUGGGGAAUAUUGGACAAUGGGGGGAACCCUGAUCCGGCCAUGCCGCGUGUGUGAAGAAGGCCUUAUGGUUGUAAAGCACUAUAAGCGAGGAGGAGGCUACUUUAGUUAAUACCUAGAGAUAGUGGACGUUACUCGCAGAAUAAGCACCGGCUAACUCUGUGCCAGCCGCCGCCGUAA